This is a long non-coding RNA of Zalophus californianus (California sea lion), 586 nucleotides long. RefSeq lists it as uncharacterized. The transcript has 3 exons. Lineage: Eukaryota; Metazoa; Chordata; Mammalia; Carnivora; Otariidae. The record is from RefSeq and is a predicted model, not a curated record.
ACAAAACGGACAACCGGCCUCAACAAGGGCCCAGGUGUUAGGAAAACGGAAGGCCCCCCGGCCUCCUGCCAAGAACCCCGGGGGAGGGGGGCAUGCAAGUCCUUCUGGGAGCGGGGAAUCCUGAAGCAGGAAGUGCCCCACGUGCGCGCCUGGAGGGGAACGUGCGCGUCUCAAAGCUCUCUUAACCCUGCUGACCAGUAGGCCUGCUCCCACUGGAUCAGAUGCCUCCUAAGGCGAGAGCAGGACUGAGGCCCCACUGUGGUCGUCUCCCCACUGUGGAGCAGACACAGCUGUAUACUGCAGACGCCUGGACCGAGUAGAAAGGGAGGAAAGCCAUCGUGGCUGGACCCAGAGGAGGCCACCGUCCCAGGAGGCAGCUCUGUAUUAGGGAUAAGACGCCUGAAGAGACCGCAACGCAGCCACAUCACACACAGGCCUAGCCUCCGAGUCCCCAGGUCACUCCUGAAGUCUGACAGGGCUCCGGGACAGCGAGACAAAUUAACACAAAUGCCGGAGGGCCAGCAACCUAAUGGGAGCAUUUGUAAGAGCUUCCAAGAGCUGAGGGCUCUGGGCUUUGCCAAGACAA